ACGCUGCUCGGCGUCGCGGUCUUCUUCUGCGUGAAGAACCUAUGCACUGACUGACAGAGGUGAUGAGCGUGCAGCUGGCCCGUGACCUCGGGGAGGUGAAAGGAAAUCCUGGCUCAGGGAACAGGACAAGCUCCUGAGCAGGGGGUCCUCGGGGACCUCCUCCCUCCUGGUUCCCUGAUGAUUUGCCAAGAGCCCAGGACUGCUCCUCUCUGUCCUGCCAACUGCCCGGGCCCCGACUGUCCAGCUCACCAAGCCCUUGAAAGCUACCUAAGCAGGCCGUCUGUGUUUCUUCCACAUUUGGAGCUGCAAGUAAAAGAAACUCACUAACGGAACCCCCCAAAACAGGGGGGGAUGCCAGAUACUGUGGCCUGUCAUCCCAGCGGCUUAGGAGGCUGAGGCAGGAGGAUCACAAGUUCAAAGCCAGCCUCAGCAACUUAGUGAGGCCCUAAGCAACUCAGCAAGACACUGUCUCUAAAUAAAGUAUUUUAAAAGGG
Molecule: long non-coding RNA, 494 nt
Organism: Marmota monax (woodchuck)
Lineage: Eukaryota; Metazoa; Chordata; Mammalia; Rodentia; Sciuridae
Exons: 2
Source: RefSeq, a predicted model, not a curated record